GUCCAUGCCCUAAACGUUGAUUACUCGUUGUUGGCGAUACACUGUCAGCGACUAAGCGAAAGCGUUAAGUAAUCCACCUGGGGAGUACGAUCGCAAGGUUGAAACUCAAAGGAAUUGACGGGGGCCCGCACAAGCGGUGGAGCAUGUGGUUUAAUUCGAUGAUACGCGAGGAACCUUACCAGGGCUUGAAAGUUAGUGACCGCUGCCGAAAGGUGGCUUCCCUUCGGGGCACAAAACUAGGUGCUGCAUGGCUGUCGU
This 258-nucleotide ribosomal RNA is filed under the name uncultured bacterium. RNAcentral describes it as "partial 16S ribosomal RNA". It matches the Rfam family "Bacterial small subunit ribosomal RNA", at positions 793 to 1055 of the family's 1533-position model. The record is from RNAcentral.